This 330-nucleotide ribosomal RNA is filed under the name uncultured Glomeromycotina. RNAcentral describes it as "partial large subunit ribosomal RNA". Lineage: Eukaryota; Fungi; Glomeromycota. The record is from RNAcentral.
CNGCCUUUCGGGUGCGANUCUGUGGGGUUUGAGGAGCUUAACACCUUCAUGCUUUGCAUAUUCGUGCUCUUGGGUGUACUUGCCCGUGUGGUUGGUUAACAUCAAUUUCGGGCACCAUAAAAUGGCUGGAGGAAUGUAGCUUCGAUCCUGUAUUGAAGUGUUAUAGCCUUCGGUAGAUGUGGUGAUCGAGAUUGAGGAUUGCAACGGAUACCNUUCGGGGCUACCUGUCUGAUCUCUGAUCGUUGCUCUGGUGCCGAAAGCUUGCUUACGGUUAUCAAAGUCGAUGGUCAAUAGGUUAGAACGGGUUAAAUUCGUUAANNNNNUGACGUA